This 513-nucleotide ribosomal RNA is filed under the name uncultured bacterium. Its description in RNAcentral is "bacterial SSU rRNA". It matches the Rfam family "Bacterial small subunit ribosomal RNA", at positions 15 to 518 of the family's 1533-position model. The record is from RNAcentral.
GAUUAUGGCUCAGGAUGAACGCUAGCGACAGGCUUAACACAUGCAAGUCGAGGGGCAGCACGGGAGUAGCAAUACAACUGGUGGCGACCGGCGCACGGGUGAGUAACGCGUAUGCAACCUGCCUAUCAGAGGGGAAUAACCCGGCGAAAGUCGGACUAAUACCGCAUAAAACAGGGGCACCGCAUGGUGAUAUUUGUUAAAGAAAUUCGCUGAUAGAUGGGCAUGCGUUCCAUUAGGUAGUUGGUGAGGUAACGGCUCACCAAGCCGACGAUGGAUAGGGGAACUGAGAGGUUGGUCCCCCACACUGGUACUGAGACACGGACCAGACUCCUACGGGAGGCAGCAGUGAGGAAUAUUGGUCAAUGGGCGGGAGCCUGAACCAGCCAAGUCGCGUGAAAGGAAGAAGGAUCUAUGGUUCGUAAACUUCUUUUGCAGGGGAAUAAAGUGCAGGACGUGUCCUGUUUUGUAUGUACCCUGAGAAUAAGGAUCGGCUAACUCCGUGCCAGCAGCCGC